AAAAUGCGAUAAGUAAUGUGAAUUGCAGAAUUCAGUGAAUCAUCGAAUCUUUGAACGCACAUUGCGCCCGCCAGUAUUCUGGCGGGCAUGCCUGUCUGAGCGUCAUUUCAACCCUCGGGACCCCGUUCGCGGGACCCGGCGUUGGGGAUCAGCCCGAAGCCCCCCGGGGCGGGCGGCUGGCCCCGAAAUCUAGUGGCGGUCCCCCCAGCGACCUCCUCUGCGCAGUAGUAACUCACCUCGCAGCUGGACAGCGGGAGGGCCACGCCGUAAAACCCCCAACUUCUCAAAGGUUGACCUCGGAUCAGGUAGGGAUACCCGCUGAACUUAAGC
RNAcentral lists this unclassified non-coding RNA (330 nucleotides) under plant metagenome. RNAcentral's name for it is "partial contains 5.8S ribosomal RNA, internal transcribed spacer 2, and large subunit ribosomal RNA". The stretch from base 1 to 105 matches the Rfam family "5.8S ribosomal RNA", at positions 50 to 154 of the family's 154-position model. The record is from RNAcentral.